CAAUAGCGUAUAUUAAAGUUGCUGCAGUUAAAAAGCUCGUAGUUGCAUUUCCGAGGCAAGGGAUUAGUCCGACCUUUGGUGGGUAUUUAAUCCUCUUGCCUCGUCCUUGAGUGGUGCUUCUUGGUAUUAAGUUAUCGAGGAGAUAGCCGCUCAUCGCUUACUGUGAGAAAAUUAGAGUGUUCAAAGCAGGCUUAUGCCGUUGAAUAUAUUAGCAUGGAAUAAUAAGAUAGGACCUCGGUACUAUUUUGUUGGUUUGAGAACCAAGGUAAUGAUGAAUAGGGACAGUUGGGGGUAUUCGUAUUCAGUUGUCAGAGGUGAAAUUCUUAGAUUUACGGAAGACGAACUACUGCGAAAGCAUUUACCAAGGAUGUUUUCAUUA
RNAcentral lists this ribosomal RNA (379 nucleotides) under uncultured eukaryote. Its description in RNAcentral is "partial 18S ribosomal RNA". It matches the Rfam family "Eukaryotic small subunit ribosomal RNA", at positions 592 to 975 of the family's 1831-position model. The record is from RNAcentral.